CAGUAGCCGCGGUAAUACGUAGGGUGCAAGCGUUAAUAGGAAUUACUGGGCGUAAAGCGUGCGCAGGCGGUUAUAUAAGACAGAUGUGAAAUCCCCGGGCUCAACCUGGGAACUGCAUUUGUGACUGUAUAGCUAGAGUACGGCAGAGGGGGAUGGAAUUCCGCGUGUAGCAGUGAAAUGCGUAGAUAUGCGGAGGAACACCGAUGGCGAAGGCAAUCCCCUGGGCCUGUACUGACGCUCAUGCACGAAAGCGUGGGGAGCAAACAGGAUUAGAGACCCCAGUAGUCCUGUCUCUUAUACC
Molecule: ribosomal RNA, 301 nt
Filed under: uncultured bacterium
Lineage: Bacteria
Description: partial 16S ribosomal RNA
Rfam family: Bacterial small subunit ribosomal RNA
Source: RNAcentral